UCCCUGGUGGCUCAGACAGUAAAGCAUCUGCCUGCAAUGCAGGAGACCCAGGUUCGAAUCCUGGGUCGGGAA
This 72-nucleotide transfer RNA is filed under the name Bos taurus (domestic cattle). It matches the Rfam family "tRNA". From Rfam's summary of the family: Transfer RNA (tRNA) molecules are approximately 80 nucleotides in length. Their secondary structure includes four short double-helical elements and three loops (D, anti-codon, and T loops). Further hydrogen bonds mediate the characteristic L-shaped molecular structure. tRNAs have two regions of fundamental functional importance: the anti-codon, which is responsible for specific mRNA codon recognition, and the 3' end, to which the tRNAs corresponding amino acid is attached (by aminoacyl-tRNA synthetases). tRNAs cope with the degeneracy of the genetic code in two manners: having more than one tRNA (with a specific anti-codon) for a particular amino acid; and 'wobble' base-pairing, i.e. permitting non-standard base-pairing at the 3rd anti-codon position. RNAcentral also lists the same sequence under 1 other name. Lineage: Eukaryota; Metazoa; Chordata; Mammalia; Artiodactyla; Bovidae. The record is from Rfam by way of RNAcentral.